RNAcentral lists this ribosomal RNA (354 nucleotides) under Klebsiella quasipneumoniae subsp. similipneumoniae. RNAcentral describes it as "partial 23S ribosomal RNA". It matches the Rfam family "Bacterial large subunit ribosomal RNA", at positions 167 to 559 of the family's 2925-position model. Lineage: Bacteria; Pseudomonadati; Pseudomonadota; Gammaproteobacteria; Enterobacterales; Enterobacteriaceae. The record is from RNAcentral.
UAGGUUAACGAGGCGAACCGGGGGAACUGAAACAUCUAAGUACCCCGAGGAAAAGAAAUCAACCGAGAUUCCCCCAGUAGCGGCGAGCGAACGGGGAGCAGCCCAGAGUCUGAAUCAGCUUGUGUGUUAGUGGAACGGUCUGGAAAGUCCGACGGUACAGGGUGAUAGUCCCGUACACCAAAAUGCACAGGCUGUGAACUCGAAGAGUAGGGCGGGACACGUGGUAUCCUGUCUGAAUAUGGGGGGACCAUCCUCCAAGGCUAAAUACUCCUGACUGACCGAUAGUGAACCAGUACCGUGAGGGAAAGGCGAAAAGAACCCCGGCGAGGGGAGUGAAAAAGAACCUGAAACCGU